This 460-nucleotide ribosomal RNA is filed under the name uncultured bacterium. RNAcentral describes it as "partial 16S ribosomal RNA". It matches the Rfam family "Bacterial small subunit ribosomal RNA", at positions 338 to 795 of the family's 1533-position model. The record is from RNAcentral.
CCUACGGGGGGCAGCAGUGAGGAAUAUUGGUCAAUGGACGAGAGCCUGAACCAGCCAAGCCGCGUGAAGGAUGAAGGCACAACGGGUUGUAAACUUCUUUUAUAAGGGAAUAAAGGCAGGUACGCGUACCUGUAUGAAUGUACCUUAAGAAUAAGGAUCGGCUAACUCCGUGCCAGCAGCCGCGGUAAUACGGAGGAUUCAAGCGUUAUCCGGAUUUAUUGGGUUUAAAGGGUGCGGAGGUGGUGCGUUAAGUCAGUGGUGAAAGCUCGGGGCUCAAACCUGGAAUUGCAUUUGAUACUGGCAGUCUCGAGUGUAGUUGAGGUAUGCGGAAUGCGUGGUGUAGCGGUGAAAUGCUUAGAUAUCACGCAGAACUCCGAUUGCGAAGGCAGCUUACCAAGCUUCCACUGACGUUGAGGCACGAAAGUGUGGGUAUCAAACAGGAUUAGAUACCCGUGUAGUC